AAUCAGGCCUUUGUGCGUAGUCAGCGUGUAUUUCUCUUCAGAUUAGAGACAAAUAAGAUGCAGCCGUGGGGUGAGGCCUGCCGGGCUGCCCGCACCCUCCAGCUGCUGGAGGACGUGGGGCAUCCCUCCCGGGCCCAGGAAGAGGCUGGUGCCCACCUACGACGACGAGAUGGGCCAGAGCACGGGGGUACUGGCUCCUUCCUGUCCUCACCCACACAAGGAGUCGGGAAAGGCAAGGGCUUCAAAGCCUUUGGUGUAAAUGCAAUCCACCCCGGUUUCCUCCUCAAGCAUUUCGGGGCCCCAGCCCCCGCCUCUGAAAAAUAACUGAUGUUGGAUGAGCAACCCUGCAGAGAAGGGCAGGGUGGUGAGGCAAUCAGGGAAGCAGGGGGGCGUAAAUUGGCCAAGUCAUCCUUGGGCUCAAGGAGCUGCUGGAUGGAGCCUCUGCCCCGGGAUGGAGGCCCGGGCCCUGGGGGUGCCCGGGGCUCCUGGGGCCCCGCUGCCGCCUCCCUGGGCUGGCCCCUGUGCUUGGGGUUUCAGGGCCACCCCACCCUGUCAUUGCCGUCCCACGCCCCUCCCCACCCCAUCCACUGGCUGGGAGGCAGAGGGCGCACAGGGCCCUCAGGGCGCGCAGGGCCCGGCUUCCUUGUAGGCUGGGGAGCCAUCUGACCCACGAGUAUUUUUUUUUUUAAUUUAUUUAUGAUAGGCACACAGUGAGAGAGAGAGAGGCAGAGACACAGGCAGAGGGAGAAGCAGGCUCCAUGCACCGGGAGCCCGACGUGGGAUUCGAUCCCGAGUCUCCAGGAUCGCGCCCUGGGCCAAAGGCAGGCGCUAAACCGCUGCGCCACCCAGGGAUCCCCCACGAGUAUUUUCAAGUAUGACUGACAUCACUUUCUGGAGCCCCAAGUCCUCUUUAGAGAUCAUGUCCUAACGAAGGAAGCUGGGGAUGCGGUCAGAUCACGCUGGUGGCCACCUGGCACGUCUUCUGGGAGCCACGGGACACGCCGGUCCUCCAGACACACACCAGCCCCACAGAACUGCAGGGGCUCUCACUGUGACAUUUUGCCACCAGAGAUUCUGCAGCCUGGAAGUGCCGAAAUAUUUCAUAAAAACUCCCGAGUUCCAGGUUUAUGUAUUGUCUGUUGUGAUUUUAACUGCGGAUGUGCUUUUGAAAAAAAAAAGGCAAAUAUUUGAAACCCAAGAGAUGGGGAUUCUGAAACCAAAGGGAGAAAGGGAAAGGAUGGGGAGGAUGGAGGCUGUGAAAUGCUCAGAAUUCAUCCAAAGUUGGGGGUUUAUUCUCAUCUAGAAAACUGCAGGGAAACGAGAAGAGAUUUUUCCAUGUGGGGCCUUGGUCAUCUCCCGAGUGGAGGGAAGGGAGGUGACGGCAGCCCACCGGGCAGCAUGAGCCAGGAAGGAGAAGCACAUCCCGAAAGUACGUCUCCUCUGUUCUUGAUCCAAAGAGAUGACUCCUGAAAGAUGGAAUGUGUCUGGCAGGUUGUACCAGGAGGAGGGAGGGACAAUCUAUUGGAGAUUUUGGCUCCCACUGAUGAACCGGCGGUGGUACCACGGGAGUCAGGCAGUGGGGAGGAGCACCCAGGACUUCUGUAGUCACGGAGCCCACUUCCCUGACACGGGGCCUGGGGCCUGGGUGCCCCUCCCCUCUGCCUGACUCCAGUGGUACCUGCGGUGCCACACUUGUGGCUAAGCUGGUCCAUGCUGGGGCCAGAGGGGGUGAUGCCCAACAUCCCCCAGGAACCUAUCAUUUUCUAGGCGCUGCCGGAGUCUUUGCACACUUUACCUCGUUAAAUGCCUCUCACAGCCUUGUGGGGUAGAAAUAAUCACACCCAUUUUACAGAUGAAGAAAUCCACGGAGUUCUAGCGACGUUUCCAAGUUUGCAGCUCUGGCCGGGGGAGGUGCGGUCGUGGCCCCUGAGUGCAGGUAGGAGGCCCG
This is a long non-coding RNA of Vulpes vulpes (red fox), 1948 nucleotides long. Lineage: Eukaryota; Metazoa; Chordata; Mammalia; Carnivora; Canidae. The record is from Ensembl.